Alosa alosa (allis shad) is the source of this 751-nucleotide long non-coding RNA. RefSeq lists it as uncharacterized. Lineage: Eukaryota; Metazoa; Chordata; Actinopteri; Clupeiformes; Clupeidae. The transcript has 3 exons. The record is from RefSeq and is a predicted model, not a curated record.
CCAUACUAGCGUGAUCAUUGCUAUUGUUCUCGGACUUCCCAUUAUCCUCUUGGCUAUAUUACUGCUCUGCAAAUUUCAAAGGGUUUUUGAUAAAUUGUUCCCACCAGUCCCAGGCCCAUCCAUCAAGAUUAAAGGCCUGCUUGAGAAAGACAUCAUAUCUCAGAUCAUAUCACACAAAUGUGUGGAAGAGGUCACUGAGGUGGAAGUAAAAGAGGAUGGGGGUGAGGAGGAGGAGUGCUGGUGCAGACCUGCCAACCUUGAAGUAAUAUUUUGAGUAGGCCUACCACCUCGAGCCGCUCACGCCUUCAUCCAUGCGGCCGAAAAUGGUCACAUAACCAAGAUUUCCAGUAAUUUUCCUAUUUAAAAUAUGUCUCUUCUCAAGUUAGAAAGUGUAAUAAGACUAGCGGAAAAGGAAACGUGGGGCUUUGAAACGUGGCUUUUUGAUGUAUGGUGUUUAACUGUGGGAUUAUGCUUCCAUAGUGUUUUCUGUUUGCCAGUGACUGUCUUGAAUUGUAACGGAGCAAUUAAGCAGCUAAGAAGAAAUAGUAACUAUGUGCCUAGAAGUGUAACACAAAUAUCCAAUAAAACCUAAAAUAAAGCUGCAAGUGGCAAUGAAGGGGCCAAGCAACAGGCCAGGCCAUGUCAAGCAAGAAAAAAAUCAUGUGACUGUCCCAAAUCAGUGUGCCAAAAGAUGCAGAGCCAGCGCUAGGGUGGGGCAAAAGGGGGCGAUGCCACCUUGAAGACAUGCCUC